CCCCUCUCUGGGCCUGAGGGGGCUGGAUCUGGUCAUUUCUAAGGCAGGACACAGCCCCUUCUCAGGGUCUGAGGGACAAAACUUAGAAGCCUGGAUGAAGUCUGGUUACAGCAGAACAAGGUAUGGUGAGGGGCUGGGCAUGAAAUGAAGAAUGCAGAGUCAGUUCCAACCUUCUGGAGCUUAUCAUCAGGGAAGACAGGCACAGAAGCAGAUGUGCACACGAGGUGGCGGCCUCGAAGCCGAAAAGGAGUCCCAAAGGGCCAACAACCAAAAGAAGGUGUGAAAGGGAAAACAUCCACAUCAAGAAGGAGACGAAGAGUCUGAUGCGUCUCAGUGCCCCCCACCCCAGCCCACCCCCACUUUCUUUAAGCACCAGAAGCCAUCUCUUCCCUUUCCUUCACCAACUCUCCCUUGGGGCCGCUGUCCCCCCCAACAGUGAAAAUAAAAUGUCAGACUGUGAAAGUAGACAACUGUU
Long non-coding RNA from Neofelis nebulosa (Clouded leopard), 475 nucleotides. RefSeq lists it as uncharacterized. The transcript has 4 exons. The record is from RefSeq and is a predicted model, not a curated record. Lineage: Eukaryota; Metazoa; Chordata; Mammalia; Carnivora; Felidae.